This 205-nucleotide unclassified non-coding RNA is filed under the name Hevea brasiliensis (rubber tree). Lineage: Eukaryota; Viridiplantae; Streptophyta; Magnoliopsida; Malpighiales; Euphorbiaceae. The record is from RNAcentral.
CCUCUUUUCUCACCUUUAUUUUUUUUUCAUUCUCUUUCUACUUUGCUCAUCUACCCAUUCCAAAACUAUAUAUUGUAAUUUAAUGAUUCAUUUUAUUUGUAUGACACAUUAAUGUGAAAUCUCAUAACAUCUUUUAACUUAAGGACAAAUUUCUAUUAUUCUAAAAGGAUAGAAUUUUGAGAGCUUAAAAUUGGUCCUGUCCAUA